GCCUGAUUAGCUCAGUCGGUAGAGCGUUGGACUUUUAAUCCAACGGUCAGGGGUUCAAGUCCCCUAUCAGGCU
Molecule: transfer RNA, 73 nt
Filed under: Ciona intestinalis (vase tunicate)
Lineage: Eukaryota; Metazoa; Chordata; Ascidiacea; Phlebobranchia; Cionidae
Description: tRNA-Lys (TTT) (tRNA-Lys-TTT-2-1)
Rfam family: tRNA
About the family: Transfer RNA (tRNA) molecules are approximately 80 nucleotides in length.
Source: Rfam by way of RNAcentral